This 1040-nucleotide ribosomal RNA is filed under the name Escherichia coli. Its description in RNAcentral is "partial 23S ribosomal RNA". It matches the Rfam family "Bacterial large subunit ribosomal RNA", at positions 139 to 1220 of the family's 2925-position model. Lineage: Bacteria; Pseudomonadati; Pseudomonadota; Gammaproteobacteria; Enterobacterales; Enterobacteriaceae. The record is from RNAcentral.
UUCGACACACUAUCAUUAACUGAAUCCAUAGGUUAAUGAGGCGAACCGGGGGAACUGAAACAUCUAAGUACCCCGAGGAAAAGAAAUCAACCGAGAUUCCCCCAGUAGCGGCGAGCGAACGGGGAGCAGCCCAGAGCCUGAAUCAGUAUGUGUGUUAGUGGAAGCGUCUGGAAAGGCGCGCGAUACAGGGUGACAGCCCCGUACACAAAAAUGCACAUGCUGUGAGCUCGAUGAGUAGGGCGGGACACGUGGUAUCCUGUCUGAAUAUGGGGGGACCAUCCUCCAAGGCUAAAUACUCCUGACUGACCGAUAGUGAACCAGUACCGUGAGGGAAAGGCGAAAAGAACCCCGGCGAGGGGAGUGAAAAAGAACCUGAAACCGUGUACGUACAAGCAGUGGGAGCACGCUUAGGCGUGUGACUGCGUACCUUUUGUAUAAUGGGUCAGCGACUUAUAUUCUGUAGCAAGGUUAACCGAAUAGGGGAGCCGAAGGGAAACCGAGUCUUAACUGGGCGUUAAGUUGCAGGGUAUAGACCCGAAACCCGGUGAUCUAGCCAUGGGCAGGUUGAAGGUUGGGUAACACUAACUGGAGGACCGAACCGACUAAUGUUGAAAAAUUAGCGGAUGACUUGUGGCUGGGGGUGAAAGGCCAAUCAAACCGGGAGAUAGCUGGUUCUCCCCGAAAGCUAUUUAGGUAGCGCCUCGUGAAUUCAUCUCCGGGGGUAGAGCACUGUUUCGGCAAGGGGGUCAUCCCGACUUACCAACCCGAUGCAAACUGCGAAUACCGGAGAAUGUUAUCACGGGAGACACACGGCGGGUGCUAACGUCCGUCGUGAAGAGGGAAACAACCCAGACCGCCAGCUAAGGUCCCAAAGUCAUGGUUAAGUGGGAAACGAUGUGGGAAGGCCCAGACAGCCAGGAUGUUGGCUUAGAAGCAGCCAUCAUUUAAAGAAAGCGUAAUAGCUCACUGGUCGAGUCGGCCUGCGCGGAAGAUGUAACGGGGCUAAACCAUGCACCGAAGCUGCGGCAGCGACGCUGAUG